Molecule: ribosomal RNA, 498 nt
Filed under: Sulfurimonas sp.
Lineage: Bacteria; Pseudomonadati; Campylobacterota; Epsilonproteobacteria; Campylobacterales; Sulfurimonadaceae
Description: bacterial SSU rRNA
Rfam family: Bacterial small subunit ribosomal RNA
Source: RNAcentral
AUUAUGGAGAGUUUGAUCCUGGCUCAGAGUGAACGCUGGCGGCGUGCUUAACACAUGCAAGUCGAACGGUAACAGGAAGUAGCUUGCUACUUUGCUGACGAGUGGCGCACGGGUGAGUAAACUAUAGUUAAUGUGCCUCGAAGACUGGGAUAGCCACUGGAAACGGUGAUUAAUACUAGAUACACCUCUUUAGCUCAAGCUAGAGAGGGAAACGUUUUUUCGCUUCGAGAUCAGACUAUAUCCUAUCAGUUAGUUGGUGAGGUAAUGGCUCACCAAGGCAAUGACGGGUAGCGGUUCUGAGAGGAUGAUCCGCCACACUGGUACUGAGACACGGACCAGACUCCUACGGGAGGCAGCAGUGAGGAAUAUUGCACAAUGGGGGGAACCCUGAUGCAGCAACGCCGCGUGGAGGAUGACGCAUUUCGGUGUGUAAACUCCUUUUAUAUGUCAAGAAAAUGACGGUAGCAUAUGAAUAAGCACCGGCUAACUCCGUGCCAG